AUGAGGCACCGGCUGCGACGGGUGCACCGUCAGGUCGACAAGCUGCUCGAAGACAUCAUUGGGGAGCGCAAACGGCUUCGGCAGAAGAAGAUGAAGGACACAGCUGAGGACAUGCUAGAUGUGCUUCUCGACGCCAUGGAACAUCCAGACACGGACGUGCCCAUUACACACGACAACAUCAAGGCUGUCAUAAUGGAUAUGUUUGCCGGGGGCACAGAGACAUCAUCGUCAACGAUAGAGUGGGCGAUCGCAGAGCUAAUGAAGAACCCCAAGGAGAUGACCAAAGUGCAGGACGAGGUGAGGACAAAAAUGCAGGGAGAGGCAAGUUGGUGCGACAUCGGACAACUCAGCUACCUCCGGCUUGUCGUCAAGGAGACGCUGCGGCUGCACAUGCCGGCGCCUCUUCUAAUCCCCAGGGUCUGCAAGGAGCAGUGCCGUCUUGGUGGCUACACAAUUCCGGCCGGCAGCAGGGUGGUCAUCAACGCGUGGGCCAUGAGCAGGGACCAAAGGUACUGGGAGGACGCCGAGGCGUUCCGUCCCGGGAGAUUCCUUGGCACAAGCGUCGACUUCAAGGGGGGCGACUUUGAGUUCCUGCCGUUCGGCGCCGGCCGGAGAAUGUGCCCAGGGAUAGAGUUUGGGCUCGCCGGCGUCGAGCUUUGCUUGGCGCAACUCCUGUUCUAUUUUGACUGGACGCUUCCUGGUGGCAUGGCGCCGGAAGACCUCGACAUGAGCGAGACAUCAUUCGGUGUUUUAUCGGUAGUCCGAAAGGAGCCACUUCGGUUGAUCCCCAGCAUACACGCUCCACUUCACCUCAAGUAUUGA
Molecule: ribosomal RNA, 822 nt
Filed under: Triticum aestivum (bread wheat)
Lineage: Eukaryota; Viridiplantae; Streptophyta; Magnoliopsida; Poales; Poaceae
Description: partial small subunit ribosomal RNA
Source: RNAcentral